Anolis carolinensis (green anole) is the source of this 118-nucleotide non-coding RNA. NCBI's taxonomy places the organism in Eukaryota, Metazoa, Chordata, Lepidosauria, Squamata, Anolidae. The record is from Rfam.
AUGUAUAAUGACAUAACCUAAAGUCACAAGAUCCCAUCUGAUCUUCGAAACUAAGCAGGGUCUGCUCUGAUUAGUACCUGAAUGGAGACCCAUCAAAGAAUACCAGGUGCUGUAAAAA